UUGUACAUCAUAAUCAAUAUGUUCAAAAGUUUUACAACAUCAAAAAGUUUGAACAUUGAUAUUUAAUGGUGAGAAAGAAAUCUUCUGACCCAUUCCAAUCGGGCAACAGAAGGUAAACUGAAGAAAACGAUCAUUUGAGUUGGAUGUUCGGGAAUUUUACUCAAAGCAUCAUACCGCUGAUCAUCGGUUAAACCUUCAAUUGACCAUAAGGCUGAAUAUAAAUUUGAAGCUUUCUCUUCCAUCUUUUCUUCAGACUUCUGCUGAACUACCACCUCGGAGGCCAUAGUCCUACUGAUU
RNAcentral lists this long non-coding RNA (297 nucleotides) under Gossypium barbadense (sea-island cotton). RNAcentral's name for it is "long non-coding RNA (GBAR_LNC002426)". The record is from RNAcentral. Lineage: Eukaryota; Viridiplantae; Streptophyta; Magnoliopsida; Malvales; Malvaceae.